This 253-nucleotide ribosomal RNA is filed under the name uncultured bacterium. RNAcentral describes it as "partial 16S ribosomal RNA". It matches the Rfam family "Bacterial small subunit ribosomal RNA", at positions 524 to 776 of the family's 1533-position model. The record is from RNAcentral.
UACGUAGGGUGCGAGCGUUAAUCGGAAUUACUGGGCGUAAAGCGUGCGCAGGCUGCUUCGCAAGUCAGGCGUGAAAUCCCCGGGCUUAACCUGGGAAUGGCGUCUGAAACUACGGAGCUAGAGUGUGGCAGAGGGAGGUAGAAUUCCACGUGUAGCGGUGCAAUGCGUAGAUAUGUGGAGGAAUCCCGAUGGCGAAGGCAGCCUCCUGGGCCAACACUGACGCUCAUGCACGUAAGCGUGUGGAGCAAACAGG